GGCGCGCGAGGGCCUCAGGGUGCAGCGGGCUGGGAGGAGCGCGUGCUGGGCUGGGUCCCGGGCCGGGCGGGGCUCUAGGGCAACUUUUUGGUUGGUUGCAGCCGGGCGCUGAUCGCCCAGGCCCCUUUUAAGCUGGGUGUCUCCGGCUGUCUCUCCCCUUUCUGCCUCCGCGCGCGACUCGGUAAGUGGCUUUCGACCAGCUCGACGCUAGGGCCCUCCGCGUGGCCCGGGGGUCUCUCCAGGGGCACUAACCAGGAGCGCCCCCCCCCCCGUCCGCGCGUCCGCCCCAUGCGGGCGGCUAGGGCUAGUGUUCGACCUCAGCUCGGCUCCCCCUCAGAGAGGCCUCCCAGGCCCCAGGGGAGCCGCUGUGAGAGCUCUUCUGCGGCGAGGACAUCCUCAGGGUACCGGGGACCCUUCCUCCCCAGAAAUAACGCUCUUGGCGCCUAAAGUCCCUCUUUCCCCCAGGGGCCGAGGCGCGCGUCACUUGUGCCUGGGACCCCGAUGCUCAAGGGAUCCGGGCCACAUGGAGCUUCAAGCUCCUUUUGCAAUGAAAAGAGAAAAACAAGACUCUUGGAGAAUGGAACCGACCCGGGGCGGAGGCGCAGAGCCCUGGACGGUGUCCCGAGUUGGGGCGCACGCGGGGCCCCCGCCUGCCCGUGGGCUUUGAGGACCCUGAUACGGUCUAUUUAGGAAGCGGAUGAGAUCACGGGCCUGAAACACUUUAGGCUUCGGGGCAGAGCAGUGUUAAUUCCGGUGUUAGCAAGAAACGGAGGUAAUUUCGCACACACUGACAUUCCCCCUCCGCAGAUGCCUCAGUUGCCACUUCGCUCUGUGGUUGGGCUCCUUAAAAGGCCUGCGUGACUCUCGUGGGAGCGGUUAGCUGCUGUGAGCCUUGAUGAGGGAGCAAUUUUCUCCCCCCCAGUCACCUUUUCAGCAUUGACAGUGCGUUAUGCAGCAGGGGACCCUCUUCCAUAACGUGUGUGGGGUCUCAUGAGUGUGAGGCCCGUCAUCGUUUUCUGGCCUGAAAAAAAGUCGGAACCUUUGGGGUUCUGACUUGUGUUCGCCAAGAUAAACAGGAAAAAUGGCCCUAGAGAAAGUUUGUCUCGAGGAAGCGUUUGUAAUUUUCACUCUGGUCCUCAGCAUUAGAGGGCUUACUUUUUUUUUUUUUUUUUAAAUAGAGGGCAUUUUAAGUGUUAUACCGGUAUACAUUCCUAUCGAAAGCGUUACUCUCCGGAUUUAAUAAAAUUUGUCAAGAUUUCAAUUUAUAGCUGAGUGAAUGAAGGAAUCGUUAUCGUUGGUUACCGCUUAGUAAUCUCUUGAAAUGGGAGACUUGUGGGAUGUUUACAUGUUUGCCUCAGUGGUGAGAGGCCCUUUUACUGAUCAGAAAGGAUCUGAUUUUCCUGAUGCGAGCUGUGACCUAAGCACGCCCCGCCCCCCACGCCCUUUUUUUAAAAAACCGUUCCCUCUGGGAGAGGGACAUGGCUGAAAGCCAGUGUCUAUUUAAGGACUGUGGGAACUGAGCAAGUGUUGACAGGGCUGUUCUCAUUUCAGUGGCCUCUGCCUCCGCCUCUGUACACUAGUUUCAGGAUUCCUUGUUUUUUAAAUGUGAAGAGUUUGUUUCCAUCUUUCAUAGGUAAAUACUGUUACCAGUAAUGUUUAUAUUUUUUCCCCAAGUUAAUUGUUCCAUGCUAGUGUAACAAGGAGGUAAAGUGAGAAAGAUGGUGACUGCUGCCGCCCAGGGUGUCUCCUGGCUGGGAAUUUCAGGACAUUCCCAGUGUCAGGAAGUUGGGAAAAUAUUGCUGUUUUACAGGAAUUCUACUCAAAGUUAGCUCUUUAGUCACCAAAGGUAAAUAGCCCAAUAAGAUACUCUUUACCAAAAAAAAGACAAAAUGCCCAAAACAAUAUUGUAAUUAUCCUCCAAUUAAAAUAAGUAAAAUUUUUUUAAAAUUAGUGAUAUUCUUAACAUUGUUUUUCUCUUUCCUACCAGGCUGACAAGAUGUUGACAAGCUUAAGGGCUGGUGCUUGAAAGAAGCUCUUCGAGGAGAUAAGGUGUAUUUGAACAUGUGAUGAUUGAUAUAUACAGAAUAGAGCUUUUUGCUAAUUGUCCUUUUCAUGGUGGUAGCAAGGGUGAAUUUUAGGAAAAAAAACUGCCAAGUAUCUGUAAGAAUAUAUAUCUAUCUGCCCUGUAGAGAAUUUUUGGCAGAAUUCAAUUCCAUUAUAUUUUUCUGCCAUCCAGCCUGAAUCUUGACACAGUAGCUAGACUAACUAUUCUACAACUAUCUUAAGAGAACUUGGCUAGCUGCUUUAAUUUACAAAGGUUAUUUUUAAAUCCCAUUCUUUUGCCUAUGCUUUUGUGCUUGCAGUUUUGUCUAAUCAUUUUGAUGAUUAAAUUUGACCCCUUGAAUAGAGGACAGAUCAGUUGAGGAGUUUGUUGCAUAGCAUUUUGAGGGUAGGGGCUGAGGAACUGUUCUACACUUUGAUUAUAGUGGUAAUUACAUCUGUCAGAAAUUUUGAGUGAGUUUUACUGAAUGUAAAUUCAAUUUCAAUAAAUAUGACUUAAAAACUUUC
Molecule: long non-coding RNA, 2568 nt
Organism: Cervus elaphus (red deer)
Lineage: Eukaryota; Metazoa; Chordata; Mammalia; Artiodactyla; Cervidae
Exons: 2
Source: RefSeq, a predicted model, not a curated record